RNAcentral lists this ribosomal RNA (797 nucleotides) under uncultured bacterium. RNAcentral describes it as "bacterial SSU rRNA". It matches the Rfam family "Bacterial small subunit ribosomal RNA", at positions 8 to 796 of the family's 1533-position model. The record is from RNAcentral.
AGAGUUUGAUCAUGGCUCAGAUUGAACGCUGGCGGCACGCCUAACACAUGCAAGUCGAGCGGCAGCAUGGGUGGCAGCAAUGCCACCUGAUGGCGAGCGGCGGACGGGUGAGGAACACGUAGGAACCUGCCCUCAAGCGGGGGACAACCAAGGGAAACUUUGGCUAAUACCGCAUACACCCGAGAGGGGAAAGCCACCCGCAAGGGCGGCACUUGAGGAGGGGCCUGCGUCCGAUUAGCUAGCUGGUGAGGUAACGGCUCACCAGGGCGAUGAUCGGUAACUGGUCUGAGAGGACGACCAGUCACACUGGGACUGAGACACGGCCCAGACUCCUACGGGAGGCAGCAGUGGGGAAUAUUGGACAAUGGGGGCAACCCUGAUCCAGCGAUGCCGCGUGAGUGAAGAAGGCCCUCGGGUCGUAAAGCUCUUUGGGCGGGGAAGAAGGAUGUGUGGUGCAUAGCCACGCAUUUUGACGGUACCCGCAGAACAAGCACCGGCAAACUCUGUGCCAGCAGCCGCGGUAAUACAGAGGGUGCGAGCGUUAAUCGGAGUUACUGGGUGUAAAGGGCGCGUAGGCGGCACGGCGUGUGUGGUGUGAAAGCCCCGGGCUUAACCUGGGAAGUGCACUGCAGACUGCCGAGCUGGAGUAUGUGAGAGGGUGGCGGAAUUUCCGGUGUAGCGGUGAAAUGCGUAGAGAUCGGAAGGAACGUCAAUGGCGAAGGCAGCCACCUGGCACAAUACUGACGCUGAGGCGCGAAAGCGUGGGGAGCGAACAGGAUUAGAUACCCUAGUAGUCC